AGGACGAACGCUGGCGGCGUGCCUCAUACAUGCAAGUGGAGCGACGAACCAGGAUUUAUCCUGGGGCAAAGCCGCGAACGGGUGAGUAACACGUGGGUUACCUGCCCCGAUGAUUGGGACAACCCGAGGAAACUCGGGCUAAUACCAAAUGUGCCCGUGGUUGUGAUGAUCACGAGGAAAGGAAGCUUCGGCCUCCGCAUCGGGAUGGGCCCGCGGCCCAUUAGCUAGUUGGUGGGGUAAAGGCCUACCAAGGCGACGAUGGGUAGCUGGUCUGAGAGGACGAUCAGCCACACUGGGACUGAGACACGGCCCAGACUCCUACGGGAGGCAGCAGUGGGGAAUAUUGGACAAUGGGCGCAAGCCUGAUCCAGCCAUGCCGCGUGGAUGAUGAAGGCCCUAGGGUUGUAAAGUCCUUUCGACGGGGAAGAUAAUGACGGUACCCGUAGAAGAAGCCCCGGCUAACUUCGUGCCAGCAGCCGC
RNAcentral lists this ribosomal RNA (480 nucleotides) under uncultured bacterium. RNAcentral describes it as "SSU rRNA". It matches the Rfam family "Bacterial small subunit ribosomal RNA", at positions 26 to 518 of the family's 1533-position model. The record is from RNAcentral.